GUUGCUAAGCUUGGACGUGGCUAUAUUUAUUUGAUGCCUUGCUCUUCAAGUUAAUAUUGUGUGCAUUGUUUGUUGCUUGAUUCUAAUGUCCAAGGGAAUUUGGGCUUCUAUAUGACAUUCUUGUCUAUUGGAUUGCAGCCCAUUGGUAAGAUCUUUUCAACUCUUAACUUCUAAAUUUAUGCUUAGGAUUAGUCUCUUCAUCUCCUCCCCACUUCUUUAAU
Molecule: long non-coding RNA, 221 nt
Filed under: Lathyrus oleraceus (garden pea)
Lineage: Eukaryota; Viridiplantae; Streptophyta; Magnoliopsida; Fabales; Fabaceae
Description: Pisum sativum (pea) long non-coding RNA (PSAT_LNC024703)
Source: RNAcentral